Long non-coding RNA from Leopardus geoffroyi (Geoffroy's cat), 383 nucleotides. RefSeq lists it as uncharacterized. Lineage: Eukaryota; Metazoa; Chordata; Mammalia; Carnivora; Felidae. The record is from RefSeq and is a predicted model, not a curated record. The transcript is spliced from 4 exons.
GUGUGGGGGACGGCACAGCCCCGUCCCCGGCGGCAAAGGAGGACGCGCCCCUGGGGAAAGGAGGAAGGCGGCAGCGACGGGGAGCACACCCGGAGCAGGUCGGGUCCACACCAUGUGCCCGAGAGAAGGUCCACGUGGAUGGAUGAAGCAGAAAAGGUUGAGAAGGCAGAUCUGUGAAAAGGAGCCUCACUCAUGAGGUGAUGUUUCCUGGCAAUGAGUGUAGCAGAAGCUUGAGAGAGACAAGUUGGAUUUUCUACUGCUACCUGUUUAAUGAAGGUCAGAACAUGGAUGUGAACAGUGGAUAAAGCAACACCAGUGACAACUGGCAACCUUGAUAAGACGUUUCAGUGGAGUGGUGACACCCGGAGCUGUGGAAAGCGAGA